This is a long non-coding RNA of Tupaia belangeri chinensis (Chinese tree shrew), 406 nucleotides long. RefSeq lists it as uncharacterized. NCBI's taxonomy places the organism in Eukaryota, Metazoa, Chordata, Mammalia, Scandentia, Tupaiidae. The transcript has 4 exons. The record is from RefSeq and is a predicted model, not a curated record.
CCAAUUGCCCAGAAGGCAUGUGGGCCAGAGAGAGGCAGAAAAACAAAGAAAGCUAGAAAGCACCCUCAGGCCUUCUGGGUCUUGGAUUCCAACAAUAUCAUCCACCAUGUGAAAUCUGACUCCCAUAACCUCGCUAGACUACGGUGUCCAACCCCGGAAAGGACCUGUUCACAUCUGUGCUGGGCACCCUGGAGCCUUCCUCUCAUCAACACUCUGUCCUCUCCUCGGCAACAACCAGCAGUGACUGGGCUAACUGGAGUCCAGCUCCCUCCCCUACAUCAGCCUCGCCUAGAAACCCCGCAGAGACCUCCCUACUACGAAUUGCUCACUGACACCCUGAACAGAAUGAAUCGGUAAACAAAUUCUUACCUGCAGCGGUCUCCGUAAAUACAGUACCCUCGCUGAA